GAUGAACGCUGGCGGCGUGCCUAAUACAUGCAAGUCGAGCGAACGGACGAGGAGCUUGCUCCUCUGACGUUAGCGGCGGACGGGUGAGUAACACGUGGAUAACCUACCUAUAAGACUGGGAUAACUUCGGGAAACCGGAGCUAAUACCGGAUAAUAUAUUGAACCGCAUGGUUCAAUAGUGAAAGACGGUUUUGCUGUCACUUAUAGAUGGAUCCGCGCCGCAUUAGCUAGUUGGUAAGGUAACGGCUUACCGAGGCAACGAUGCGUAGCCGACCUGAGAGGGUGAUCGGCCACACUGGAACUGAGACACGGUCCAGACUCCUACGGGAGGCAGCAGUAGGGAAUCUUCCGCAAUGGGCGAAAGCUUGACGGAGCAACGCCGCGUGAGUGAUGAAGGUCUUCGGAUCGUAAAACUCUGUUAUUAGGGAAGAACAAAUGUGUAAGUAACUAUGCACGUCUUGACGGUACCUAAUCAGAAAGCCACGGCUAACUACGUG
This 497-nucleotide ribosomal RNA is filed under the name uncultured bacterium. RNAcentral's name for it is "partial 16S ribosomal RNA". It matches the Rfam family "Bacterial small subunit ribosomal RNA", at positions 28 to 507 of the family's 1533-position model. The record is from RNAcentral.